AUAAAUUAAUCUUUAUUGAACUUUUAAGAAAUUGUUGAAAUUAAGGUUAAUUACAAGAUUUGCAAGUAAUUACAUUCUCAAAAUUUAUUCAUUCACUUUCAGAAUAAUGUAUUGAGGGAAAAUGGGUAAAAGCUUUAUCACAACAAUUGACUCCAAAUCAGUUUGUGUGAGAAGCACUUUCGCGAAGAAGAUAUUAAGAAAAUUGAUCGAUUGAUUAUUAAUGGAGCUGAAAUUAUCAUCCCUCGCGAAAGGUGGACUCUUUUGAAUGACAAUGUCAUUCCAAUAAACCCUCACGAUUUGGAAAAGGACAUUUCUGAAGAGCAAGUUCCAAUAGUGCAAAAUGACAUUAAUAACUGACCAAUCGAAAACCUGGAUUAUACACAACCCUUGUUAAAAAUCGUUCAAGGUAACAAUUUAAAAGAAGAUUCUCAACCAGCAGGACCCCAUCAUAUGGAAUCACCAGAGAUUGUAACAGCUAAUAAUGUCAUUAUCUCGAACAUGUCUCCA
This is a long non-coding RNA of Melitaea cinxia (Glanville fritillary), 507 nucleotides long. RefSeq lists it as uncharacterized. Lineage: Eukaryota; Metazoa; Arthropoda; Insecta; Lepidoptera; Nymphalidae. The transcript is spliced from 3 exons. The record is from RefSeq and is a predicted model, not a curated record.